This 726-nucleotide long non-coding RNA is filed under the name Pongo abelii (Sumatran orangutan). RNAcentral's name for it is "lincRNA". The record is from RNAcentral. Lineage: Eukaryota; Metazoa; Chordata; Mammalia; Primates; Hominidae.
GGACCUUGGUAUGCUGCGCACCGGUCCUCUGGCCCACUGUUGUUUUCUCACGUUUUCUCACCUUUCCAAACAUGUCCAUGCCUAGAAGCUGGAGACCCCAUCCACACUGCAGUACCAGGGAUUCUUCCUGGACAGUGAUAACCAGAUCCAUCUCUCAUAGCAGGUAAUCAUUGUGUCCUGAUGUCUGUCACCCCAAGAGGCCAUGACUUUGCAAAGGCAAAGGCAAGGACUGUGCUGGAUCUCCCACUCUGCUUCCUCCUCAUCAUCCACAAGAAGUCCUGCCUGCCCUUCGGCUCCCUGACAUGGGCUUUCCCAAUGGGCACUACUAUCACAGCUAUAUCCAGGGUAGCAACUUCCCUGGACUAGAGGUGGGGUGACUGCUGGCCGAACAAGAGGCGGGCCCCAGGGUGAAGGACCUUGCUCGAUCUCCCCUCAGUUUGGUCUACCAGCCGCGCUUGUCAAGCACUCUGCCAGGAGUCUGGGGCAACUGAUCUUUGGAAAUGUGAGUCCUGGAGGCUGAGCCUGUUCCCCAGAGCCCCUAGCAGACCCCCCGGCCAACUCUUAUUGGAGGGACAAGGCAGUAGACAAGGAGUCGCUGGGAAUUUUGGUUUGCUUGUAUGCUUGCCUUCGCACAUCCCCACCUCUCCCUGCACCUGGUUCUAUUUGUAUCUGAGCUUCUCAAACCUGCAAUAAUGUGACACCUAGCGCGAGCUGGCUCUGGAGAUG